RNAcentral lists this transfer RNA (64 nucleotides) under Lepidocyrtus fimetarius. RNAcentral describes it as "tRNA-Pro". The record is from RNAcentral. Lineage: Eukaryota; Metazoa; Arthropoda; Collembola; Entomobryomorpha; Entomobryidae.
CAGAGUUUAGUUUAAAUUUUAAAAUUUUGGUUUUGGAUACCUAAGAUGAUAUCUUCAGCUCUGA